This 1149-nucleotide ribosomal RNA is filed under the name Licinoma sp. NLG-2012. RNAcentral's name for it is "partial 16S ribosomal RNA". The record is from RNAcentral. Lineage: Eukaryota; Metazoa; Arthropoda; Insecta; Coleoptera; Tenebrionidae.
UUCUUUAAAGUUAAAAAUUUUGGCGGUAUUUUAGUCUUUUCAGAGGAACCUGUUUUUUAAUUGAUAGUCCACGAUUAGUUUUACUUAAGUUUUAAAUUUAUAUAUCGUCGUUUAUAAAAAUUUUAUUAUUAAAUUUUUUCAGAUCAAGGUGUAGUUUAUAUUUAAGUUAAAAUGGGUUACAAUAGAAAUUUCAGAUAAAUUGGAUUUGAAAGUAAGCUCUAAAAUAUGCACAUAUCGCCCGUCGCUUUCGUUUUAAGAUGAAAUAAGUCGUAACAAAGUAGGCCUAUUGGAAAAUGGGCCUAGAAUGCAGGCUAGAGCUUGUUAAGCAUUUCAUUUACAUUGAAAAGUUUUCUGUGAAAUUCGGUUUAGCUUGAAUUUAUAAACUUAUUGUUAUUUUUUUUCUUUUAUUUUAAUUGAAAUAUUAGAUUUUUUAUUAUUUUUUGAAAUGAUUUAUUGAUAGUUGAUAGUAUAGUGUUAGAAUUUUUUAAAAUUUUUAAAAGAAAAUUUUACUUUUUGUACCUUGUGUAUCAGGGUUAAUUAAUUUGUUUUCCCGAAUUUAAAAGAGCAAAUUUUGUUGUGAAAUAAAAAUUUAGAAUAGUAAAUUUGAAAUGAAAUGUUAUUCGUUUUUAAAUAUAUCUGGUUUCUUAAGAAAAAAAUUUAAUUUUAUUAUUAUUUUCAAUUUUAUUAGGGGAUAAGCUUUUGGUUAUAAUUUUAUAAGUUAAUGUUUUUAUAAAAUUUAUAGGAUUAGAAUUUUCUAUUUUUAACAGGAUGUUAUAGUUAAUAAUUUUAAUUUUUUUAUUGAGAUUUUUAUUUGAAUUUAUUAUGUUAUGUAAUAAUGAUUGAAUUAGUAAAGUUUAUUAAAGGAAUUCGGCAAUAUUUAUUUUCACCUGUUUAAUAAAAACAUGUCCUUUUGAGUAUAAUUUAAGGUCUUGCCUGCCCAAUGAUUUAAUGGCCGCAGUAUUUUGACUGUGCAAAGGUAGCAUAAUCAUUAGUUUUUUAAUUGAAAGCUGGUAUGAAUGGUUUGAUGAGAAAUAAACUGUCUCUAGAAUUUUAAUUUUGAGUGAAAAAGCUUAAAUUUUAUACAAAGACGAGAAGACCCUAUAGAGUUUUUAUGUUGGGGUGAUGUAAAAAUUUAAUUAACUUUUUAUU